GACGAACGCUGGCGGCGUGCUUAACACAUGCAAGUCGAACGGUGAACCAGGGCUUGCCCUGGGGAUCAGUGGCGAACGGGUGAGUAACACGUGGGCAACCUGCCCCUGACUCUGGGAUAACUCCUCGAAAGAGGUGCUAAUACCGGAUACGACCACUUCGGGCAUCCGAUGGUGGUGGAAAGAAUUUUGGUCAGGGAUGGGCCCGCGGCCUAUCAGCUUGUUGGUGGGGUAACGGCCCACCAAGGCGACGACGGGUAGCCGGCCUGAGAGGGCGACCGGCCACACUGGGACUGAGACACGGCCCAGACUCCUACGGGAGGCAGCAGUGGGGAAUAUUGCGCAAUGGGCGAAAGCCUGACGCAGCGACGCCGCGUGAGGGACGACGGCCUCGGUGUAACGUACUUCUAGCAGGACGAAGACG
This 421-nucleotide ribosomal RNA is filed under the name uncultured bacterium. RNAcentral's name for it is "bacterial SSU rRNA". It matches the Rfam family "Bacterial small subunit ribosomal RNA", at positions 28 to 450 of the family's 1533-position model. The record is from RNAcentral.